CAGAGACUGGCCAAUGGCUUGUUGAGCUUCUUAAGCCUCCGCCAUUGGGAUGAUGGCCUUUGCUCAUCUCUGGACAAAUGGGCGUGAUGCUGUGCUGUUUGCUGGUCUCACCUGUUCUCCAUCAGCUCAUCAGAUCAGUACAUCUAUCAAGGCUCCCAGUCACAAGCUGCCAGAUCGUUCUUGUUUACCAUAUGCCCUGUCAGUUCCAGCACAGCUGUCCACCCCACUGCAGAAGUUCUGCUCACAGCUCCUGCUGCCAGUCUCCCCGGCCUCCCUUCAAGCGACCUCACCUUCCCCACCGCUUGCCCUACGCACUUUUCUGGAAGGCUGAUCAAGAAUCAGUAAAGACGACUGUUCCCACAUCAGAACUGUGUCUGUGUCUUGAGUCAGCUUUUGGGGCUCAUUCCAGAGUUUUAGCUCAAUCUUGGCUCUGCCCACUAUUAAUGUUUGAUGCCACUUGAAGGUCAACAGGUUUUUUUUUUUUUUUUAACAUUAAAGGCCCUUAAUUGAGCCCCCCAGGGCCACAAACCCAUAGUGUUGAUAUGUCAUGUCUAUUUGAUCACACUUCUCUCUCCAAGACGCUUCGCAUUAAGUCCUCGGCCAAUAAAAUACAUUUGUGGCAGGGGAUGUGACUUCACUGGCCCAAUACUUGUGUAGAAAACUACAUUUCCUACAACAAUGCCCUUGACAACCACUAACUGGUUCUACAAGAAAAGUUUUUAAGUAUUUCUAAGUCUGUGUUAAAUGUAUUACCAUUUCUGCUUUAAAAGAAAAGUCCACACAUGUGAAAUGUUUUAGUUUUAAUUGAACAUGUAGAACUGAACUAUACACAACCAAUUGGUUUCUUUCUCAAAAACAUUAUGACUUCAAGAAUUUUCUAUGCAUCUUCAUGCAUGUCAUCAACCUCCUUUGUGACCAACCUAACAAAUAAAGAACACAGGGGGGUUCAAUAGUGGCUGAUCAGGCCAAAGACACACAAGAGGAAUGACACAACGCAUUAAUACAUUAACUACUAAUGAACUAAACUCAAUAACCCCAAUUCCCCCCUAUUGUAGCAGGCUCUUGGUUCAGUCUCAUUGGCACUUCUUGAACUGUGCCACUGCCCUGGGGCCUAUACUUUUGCCAAUCCAGCCAGAUGAACUCAGCAAGGACAACAGGAACCCUGGG
Molecule: long non-coding RNA, 1167 nt
Organism: Acanthopagrus latus (yellowfin seabream)
Lineage: Eukaryota; Metazoa; Chordata; Actinopteri; Spariformes; Sparidae
Exons: 3
Source: RefSeq, a predicted model, not a curated record